AUUGAACGCUGGCGGCAUGCCUUACACAUGCAAGUCGAGCGGCAGCACGGGUGCUUGCACCUGGUGGCGAGUGGCGAACGGGUGAGUAAUACAUCGGAACAUGUCCUGUAGUGGGGGAUAGCCCGGCGAAAGCCGGAUUAAUACCGCAUACGAUCUACGGAUGAAAGCGGGGGACCUUCGGGCCUCGCGCUAUAGGGUUGGCCGAUGGCUGAUUAGCUAGUUGGUGGGGUAAAGGCCUACCAAGGCGACGAUCAGUAGCUGGUCUGAGAGGACGACCAGCCACACUGGGACUGAGACACGGCCCAGACUCCUACGGGAGGCAGCAGUGGGGAAUUUUGGACAAUGGGCGAAAGCCUGAUCCAGCAAUGCCGCGUGUGUGAAGAAGGCCUUCGGGUUGUAAAGCACUUUUGUCCGGAAAGAAAUCCUUGGCUCUAAUACAGUCGGGGGAUGACGGUACCGGAAGAAUAAGCACCGGCUAACUACAUG
RNAcentral lists this ribosomal RNA (486 nucleotides) under uncultured bacterium. RNAcentral describes it as "partial 16S ribosomal RNA". It matches the Rfam family "Bacterial small subunit ribosomal RNA", at positions 30 to 507 of the family's 1533-position model. The record is from RNAcentral.